UACGAAGGGUGCAAACGUUGCUCGGAAUUAUUGGGCGUAAAGCGCACGUAGGCGGCUUGGCAAGUCGGAUGUGAAAUCCCUCGGCUCAACCAAGGAAGUGCAUCCGAAACUGCUGAGCUUGAGUACUUAAGAGGAUCACGGAAUUCCCGGUGUAGAGGUGAAAUUCGUAGAUAUCGGGAGGAACACCAGUGGCGAAGGCGGCGAUCUGGGAAGAUACUGACGCUGAGGUGCGAAAGCGUGGGGAGCAAACAGG
Molecule: ribosomal RNA, 253 nt
Filed under: uncultured bacterium
Lineage: Bacteria
Description: partial 16S ribosomal RNA
Rfam family: Bacterial small subunit ribosomal RNA
Source: RNAcentral